UAGGGAAUCUUCCGCAAUGGACGAAAGUCUGACGGAGCAACGCCGCGUGAGUGAUGAAGGCUUUCGGGUCGUAAAACUCUGUUGUUAGGGAAGAACAAGUGCUAGUUGAAUAAGCUGGCACCUUGACGGUACCUAACCAGAAAGCCACGGCUAACUACGUGCCAGCAGCCGCGGUAAUACGUAGGUGGCAAGCGUUAUCCGGAAUUAUUGGGCGUAAAGCGCGCGCAGGUGGUUUCUUAA
Molecule: ribosomal RNA, 240 nt
Filed under: Bacillus sp. enrichment culture clone 'DGGE gel band P4'
Lineage: Bacteria; Bacillati; Bacillota; Bacilli; Caryophanales; Bacillaceae
Description: partial 16S ribosomal RNA
Rfam family: Bacterial small subunit ribosomal RNA
Source: RNAcentral